AACGCACAUUGCGCCCCCUGGUACUCCGGGGGGCAUGCCUGUCUGAGCGUCAUCGCACAACCCCUCGGGCCACGGCCCGGUGAUGGGGCGGGGCGCGGCCCACUCGGCCGCGCCCGCCCCCAAAUCCAUCGGACGGCGGCCCCGGCGUCGGGCCCGCGUACGUGUUUGAUCAGCCCCAGCGGCGAACCUCACGCAACGCGGAGCCAGGGCGACCGGGGACCCGCGGAAGGGUCCGCGGCGCGGGGUCCCCACGGGACCCGGCCGGGAAAAACCAGAGCACUUGACCUCAGAUCAGGUAGGGAUACCCGCUGAACUUAA
This 318-nucleotide unclassified non-coding RNA is filed under the name uncultured fungus. RNAcentral's name for it is "partial contains 5.8S ribosomal RNA, internal transcribed spacer 2, and large subunit ribosomal RNA". The stretch from base 1 to 52 matches the Rfam family "5.8S ribosomal RNA", at positions 103 to 154 of the family's 154-position model. The record is from RNAcentral. Lineage: Eukaryota; Fungi.